This 76-nucleotide transfer RNA is filed under the name Desulfarculus baarsii DSM 2075. RNAcentral describes it as "tRNA-Ala (GGC) (tRNA-Ala-GGC-1-1)". It matches the Rfam family "tRNA". Rfam says of the family: Transfer RNA (tRNA) molecules are approximately 80 nucleotides in length. The record is from RNAcentral. Lineage: Bacteria; Pseudomonadati; Thermodesulfobacteriota; Desulfarculia; Desulfarculales; Desulfarculaceae. RNAcentral also lists the same sequence under 1 other name.
GGGGCUAUAGCUCAGCUGGGAGAGCGCUUGACUGGCAGUCAAGAGGUCAGGGGUUCGAGCCCCCUUAGCUCCACCA